RNAcentral lists this ribosomal RNA (297 nucleotides) under uncultured bacterium. RNAcentral describes it as "partial 16S ribosomal RNA". It matches the Rfam family "Bacterial small subunit ribosomal RNA", at positions 475 to 776 of the family's 1533-position model. The record is from RNAcentral.
CUAUGCGCCUUGCCAGCCCGCUCAGGUGUGCCAGCCCCGCGGUAAUACGUAGGUGGCAAGCGUUGUCCGGAUUUAUUGGGCGUAAAGCGAGUGCAGGCGGUUCAAUAAGUCUGAUGUGAAAGCCUUCGGCUCAACCGGAGAAUUGCAUCAGAAACUGUUGAACUUGAGUGCAGAAGAGGAGAGUGGAACUCCAUGUGUAGCGGUGGAAUGCGUAGAUAUAUGGAAGAACACCAGUGGCGAAGGCGGCUCUCUGGUCUGCAACUGACGCUGAGGCUCGAAAGCAUGGUAGCGAACAGG